GGGGAAUCUUCCGCAAUGGACGAAAGUCUGACGGAGCAACGCCGCGUGAGUGAAGAAGGUCUUCGGAUUGUAAAGCUCUGUCGUUUGGGACGAACGUGGAUUGUGUGAAUAAUGCAGUCUAAUGACGGUACCAAAGGAGGAAGCCACGGCUAACUACGUGCCAGCAGCCGCGGUAAUACGUAGGUGGCAAGCGUUGUCCGGAAUUAUUGGGCGUAAAGGGCGUGUAGGUGGAUUCUUAAGUCGUGUGUCUAAGUGCGGUGCUCAACACCGUAUGGGCGCAGGAAACUGGGAAUCUUGAGUGCAGGAGAGGAAAGUGGAAUUCCCAGUGUAGCGGUGAAAUGCGUAGAUAUUGGGAGGAACACCAGUGGCGAAGGCGACUUUCUGGACUGUGUCUGACACUGAGGCGCGAAAGCCAGGGGAGCGAAC
RNAcentral lists this ribosomal RNA (426 nucleotides) under uncultured bacterium. Its description in RNAcentral is "bacterial SSU rRNA". It matches the Rfam family "Bacterial small subunit ribosomal RNA", at positions 356 to 773 of the family's 1533-position model. The record is from RNAcentral.